GCGUCGGUUGUGAAAGCCCGGGGGCUUUAACUCCGGGUCUGCAGUCGAUACGGGCAGCUAGAGUUCGGUAAGGGGAGAUCAGUACUCCUGGUGUAGCGGUGAAAUGCGCAGAUAUCAGGAGGAACACCGGUGGCGAAGGCGGAUCUCUGGGCCGAUACUGACGCUGAGGAGCGAAAGCGUGGGGAGCGAACAGGAUUAGAUACCCUGGUAGUCCACGCCGUAAACGGCGGGCACUAGGUGUGGGCAGCAUUCCACGUUGUCCGUGCCGUAGCUAACGCAUUAAGUGCCCCGCCUGGGGAGUACGGCCGCAAGGCUAAAACUCAAAGGAAUUGACGGGGGCCCGCACAAGCGGCGGAGCAUGUGGCUUAAUUCGACGCAACGCGAAGAACCUUACCAAGGCUUGACAUACACCGGAAACAUCCAGAGAUGGGUGCCCCCUUGUGGUCGGUGUACAGGUGGUGCAUGGCUGUCGUCGGCUCGUGUCGUGAGAUGUUGGGUUAAGUCCCGCAACGAGCGCAACCCUUGUCCCGUGUUGCCAGCAGGCCCUUGUGGUGCUGGGGACUCACGGGAGACCGCCGGGGUCAACUCGGAGGAAGGUGGGGACGACGUCAAGUCAUCAUGCCCCUUAUGUCUUGGGCUGCACACGUGCUACAAUGGCCGGUACAAAGAGCUGCGAUACCGUGAGGUGGAGCGAAUCUCAAAAAGCCGGUCUCAGUUCGGAUUGGGGUCUGCAACUCGACCCCAUGAAGUCGGAGUCGCUAGUAGUCGCAGAUCAGCAUUGCUGCGGUGAAUACGUUCCCGGGCUUGCACUCACCGCCCGUC
RNAcentral lists this ribosomal RNA (822 nucleotides) under uncultured bacterium. RNAcentral describes it as "bacterial SSU rRNA". It matches the Rfam family "Bacterial small subunit ribosomal RNA", at positions 585 to 1398 of the family's 1533-position model. The record is from RNAcentral.